AUGUUCUACAGCUGUCCUCCUAGACCAGACCAAAAUUCUGCAUCUGUCCUCCUAGACCAGACCAAGGUUCUGCAUCUGUCCUCCCAGACCAAGACCAGACCAAGGUUCUACAUCUGUCCUCCUAGACCAGACCAAGGCUCUACAUCUGUCCUGCUAGACCAGACCAAGGUUCUGCAUCUGUCCUCCCAGACCAAGGUUCUACAUCUGUCCUCCUAGACAAGACCAAGGAUCUGGUCUCCAAGACCUUAGUGCUACUUUUGAACCAUCGAUCACCACAUUCUUCUGGAGAGAUUAGAAACUCUAAUUGGUCUACAUGGACAAGUUCUUGCCUGGUUAAGAUCUGUCAGAAAGACAUCAGUUAGUCUCUGUGGAUGGUUUGUCCUCUGAAAAAUCUAAGGUAAAUGUUGGUGUUCCUCAAGGUUCACUAUUGUUUUCACUAUAUAAAUAUAUAUUAUACCUCUUGGUCCAGCUUUCGCUCCAGAGACUAUGUCCAGCUUUCGCUCCAGAAAGCACGGGCUUAUCUGAACUCUGCUGACCUCUCCCCCCCUCCUAUCUGACCUCCAGGCCCCCCACUGACUACUGACCUCUCCUAUCUGACCUCUGCUGACCUCUCCCCCACUCUUAUCUGGCCUCCAAGCCCCCCACUGACUGCUGACCUCUCCCCCACUCCUAUCUGACCUCUCCCCCACUCCUAUCUGACCUCCAGGCCCCCCACUGACUGCUGACCUCUCCUAUCUGACCUCUGCUGACCUCUCCCCCACUCCUAUCUGACCUCCAGGCCCCCCACUGACUGCUGACCUCUCCCCCACUCCUAUCUGACCUCUCCCCCACUCCUAUCUGACCUCCAGGCCCCCCACUGACUGCUGACCUCUCCCCCACUCCUAUCUGACCUCCAGGCCCCCCACUGACUGCUGACCUCUCCCCCACUCCUAUCUGACCUCCAGGCCCCCCACUGACUGCUGACCUUACCUCCACACACAUUGGCCUUCUCACUGGGGCCACUCCACUUUGUCCAUCUCCACAGCUUAAGUACAGACCUCCAGGCAUCCACACCUACUCUCCUUACCCAGGCAACACCCAUGGGCUGGGGCUCAGCAGUCUCCAUAACCAGCCAAACCGGGGAACCCACACUUUAGCACCGCUCUCUCUGCGUUAUGCGGAAGACGAUGGAAGAUAUAUUAAUGGGAUCUCUAUCAGAGCUCUGGCCCGGCUGGGGUCAUGAGGUAGACAAUGGAAGAGAUCAUAAAGGAAUUGCGUUGGAAUCGAGUGAUUCAUGUGAUCCGCGACAGUGCCACGAUC
RNAcentral lists this long non-coding RNA (1299 nucleotides) under Oncorhynchus mykiss (rainbow trout). Its description in RNAcentral is "lncRNA (ENSOMYG00000070725.1)". The record is from RNAcentral. Lineage: Eukaryota; Metazoa; Chordata; Actinopteri; Salmoniformes; Salmonidae.